GCAGGUGGAAUGUCCCAGCUUCGGGGAACACGUACGAUCGCGACUCGUUUUCGAACGAGGGUGCGAGACAUUUGGAUGUUCACAACCAAACCCCGGGGAAGGUCUGAGACACAGCAGUCAACCAAAUGCCCGUGAGGGCGCAUCCUCGUCAGAACUGGCGUUGCUGCCAGCAAACCGGCGAUGGACGUGGGUCACCAGAAACCUUUAGCAUCCAACGCGUUUCGAGACGCUUGGUACUCUAUAUUGCUAGUUGGAACGGGCUCACUUGCUGCGGGAGACCUAAGUGCAAUGCAGGGAGUGUCGACUCUUUUGGGGUCGGCAAAACUCAAUUCAGACUACUCUCCAUAUCUGC
This 352-nucleotide RNase P RNA is filed under the name Capsaspora owczarzaki ATCC 30864. RNAcentral describes it as "Nuclear RNase P". It matches the Rfam family "Nuclear RNase P". Rfam says of the family: Ribonuclease P (RNase P) is a ubiquitous endoribonuclease, found in archaea, bacteria and eukarya as well as chloroplasts and mitochondria. The record is from Rfam by way of RNAcentral. Lineage: Eukaryota; Filasterea; Ministeriida; Capsasporidae.